This 512-nucleotide ribosomal RNA is filed under the name Helicotheca tamesis. RNAcentral's name for it is "partial Bacterial large subunit ribosomal RNA". It matches the Rfam family "Bacterial large subunit ribosomal RNA", at positions 234 to 797 of the family's 2925-position model. Lineage: Eukaryota; Bacillariophyta; Thalassiosirophyceae; Lithodesmiales; Lithodesmiaceae. The record is from RNAcentral.
AUUCCCUAAGUAGCGGCGAGCGAACGGGGACUAGCCCUUAAGCUAGACAACUGGUAGGAGAAGGCUCUGGAAAGUGCCGCCAUAGUGGGUGAUAGCCCCGUAUCCGAAACCUGAGUCUGGUGAAAUCGAGUAGGACGGGACACGUGAUAUCCUGUCUGAACAUGGGGGGACCAUCCUCCAAGCCUAAGUACUCCUACAUGACCGAUAGUGAACCAGUACCGUGAGGGAAAGGCGAAAAGAACCCCUGUGAGGGGAGUGAAAUAGAUCCUGAAACCGUAUGCGUACAAGCAGUCGGAGCGGACUUGUUCCGUGACGGCGUACCUUUUGUAUAAUGGGUCAGCGACUUAUGUUCAGUGGCGAGGUUAACCGUUUAGGGGAGCCGUAGGGAAACCGAGUCUGAAUAGGGCGAUUUAGUCGCUGGGCAUAGACCCGAAACCGGGCGAUCUAUCCAUGAGCAGGUUGAAGGUGCCGUAACAGGCACUGGAGGACCGAACCCACUGUCGUUGAAAAGC